Orcinus orca (killer whale) is the source of this 334-nucleotide long non-coding RNA. RefSeq lists it as uncharacterized. The transcript is spliced from 3 exons. The record is from RefSeq and is a predicted model, not a curated record. NCBI's taxonomy places the organism in Eukaryota, Metazoa, Chordata, Mammalia, Artiodactyla, Delphinidae.
GUCAACAUUUGUUAAAUGAAUGAACAAGUGGAUCCUGGCCCCUUCGGCAUUUUUGUGGUAUAUUGGAGAAUGCAUCUGGUCUCCGGCUGUUUCCUGGGAGACAAACUCUAAGUCCUUGGAACUUCCAGGCGGAGUCUUAACCACUGCGCCACCAGGGAAGUCCCGUGAGAGUGUAUCUCCAGUGUUCUCACCACAAAUAAAAAAGAGAGCUACUGUAUUUUAUUUUCACCAGCACACCACAGAUCCUGAGGCAAUGCAGAGGCAGAGAAAACCAGGGAGCAGGAGCCACUGGAUAGAAAAGACCAGAAGAGACAAGAGUCGCUGCGGCCCUGUC